Molecule: long non-coding RNA, 609 nt
Filed under: Selaginella moellendorffii
Lineage: Eukaryota; Viridiplantae; Streptophyta; Lycopodiopsida; Selaginellales; Selaginellaceae
Description: long non-coding RNA (SMOE_LNC001731)
Source: RNAcentral
UCCAGAGUUUCUUCGUAUUCAUCUUGUCAUUCUUUCUCGAGGUUCUUCAUCAUCGUCUCUUGAUCUUCUCAAUCUCUCGCUGCAGGAAUCGAGGGGCUUGGAAUCUCGGACAAAGUCAUCAGUAACAUUGUCAGCGCCCGAGGAGAGCAGCACAGUUACCUCAGCGCUUGGACCAGCUCUAAACACCGACGGAAAGCCACGCGCAAAGCGUGGAUCUGCCACGGACCCGCAAAGCAUCUACGCUCGGGUAAAAUCUCUCAAUCCAGAAACAAAAAAAAAUCUUCUUACUCGUCUCAAGUCGUGUUCAUGCUCUUCAUUCCCUGUGUCUCUUUUGCUUUGUCUUCUAACGUUUUUACUCUUGGUUUUUCGCUGCCAGCAAAGAAGAGAAAGGAUCAACGAGCGUUUGAGAGCGCUACAAGGACUCGUACCAAACGGAGCGAAGGUGGGUCUCUUUGGCCAUUCCUUCACGUAAGCUUUUGGAGAUGGGAUAUUGAGCGAUUGACUUUGUGCUCCAGGUUGACAUUGUGACGAUGCUCGAGGAAGCCAUCAACUAUGUCAAGUUUUUGCAGCUGCAAGUAAAGGUCAUGCGUGCUCAAUAUGGAGAAACAA